UUUGAUUUUUGCAACUGCUUUAUAAAAGAUGUGUGUAUGCAGAACUUUUAUGCACACAUUCUACAAUUUUUGACAAAUUAUCACUUUGAAUAGCUUUUGUUCCUGAAAAGUAAAACAUUCAACCCAUGAGCGCAAUAUCACACCCUGGCCCUGCAUAUGAAAAGAAUAUAAAUAUUAUUUCCUCCGUAUUAAGUGACACAGUUAUCUGUAACAUACAUACCAUUUGUAUAAUUUUCAUCUUUAAUAAUUUUAUUAUCUACUAGUAAAAAUUACUAUAUUUUAAAAAUAUUCGUCGAGACAAAUAUAACAUUUAUAUAAUAUUAUUUAUCAUUAUAUAUUAGUAGAAAAAUACAGUCAAAAUAUAUUAUGUAAAUAAUAUAAAUAACUAAAUUAGAUCCCCUAAAAAAAACUAAAUUAGAUCACUUUUUUUUUGUUUUGAGGGAAACUAAAUUAGAUCACUUAAUAUGGGAGGAGGGAGUAUGAUAUAUCAACCCUGCAAAAAAAAAAAGGCAAAUCUAUUCGUAAAUUGAUUCAAGUGGUCAGGGGUGUAAAAAAUUUAAGCAAAUUAAAGGACCAACUCUAUUGAUACAUCACUCAUUUAAUUUUUUAAUGGAAAAUAUUAACUAACCGAUGUUUCUGGUGCACUAAUUAAGAAAGCAAAUAUACUCUCUCUGGUCACUAAUAUAAGCAAAAGUUGAUUUUUUAGGUUCAUUCAAUAAAUGAUGCAUGUAGUCUAUAUAUAGACCACAUAUAUCAUUUAUUUAAUGAACUUAAAAAGUGUUUUUUUGCUUAUAAUAGUGACCAGAGGAAUUAGUAAUCGAAUUUGAAGUUGUGCAGUCAACUCAUCAAAAGUCUAAAAGUGUUAUUUUUAAAUUAAAACUUUCUUAUUUUGGCUUCCUUAACUAGUACUCUGAAGUAUUGGUUAGCAGGACCCUUUUUUAAUAGUAAUAUCUAAUAAACACUCAAUUCCUCCAACUCAACACAUCACACAAAUUUCUUAAAUGAGACACAUUGAUAACUUUAUAUCAUCAAAUUUCAAUAUUAAAACUUAAAACCCGAAGAGAGAGCGCUUAUGUGAGCCACUCAUCUCAAUAGGUACCAUUUUAGAUUUAUCCUUUAUGGGGCUACCUAUGAGUAGGGGUGGCAAUGAACCGAACCAAUUCGAUUAGUGUUCGUAAUUCGAUUCGAUAAUUGAUUCGUCGAACUUGGUUCAUGAACCAAAUGAGCCGAACUUGAGCUGAAAAUUAAGUUCGCUAACUAAUUGAGCUGAACUUGAACCAUAUAUAGGUCGACUCGUUUGGUUCAUGAGAUGACUCGAUUAUAAAUAUAUAAUUGAUUUUACACAAUUAGAUAAUUAAUUAUAUAUAUAAUACUUUAAAAACUAAGACAAGCACUUAACAAUAAUAGGAUAAAAAUGAGCUACAUUAAAAUUAAUAGACAACACUAUGCACAGUGUUGUUGUAGUAUUUAAGGAUUUCAAAACUAAGAUAGUCCCGCUGCGGAACAUGCAUGAAAAAUGGAGGAUACGAUUAUCUGUAAUAAGAUAAACACAUGACACAAGAAGGCAAAACUGGAUUUGGUGGUUGCAUACCUAAGUUAAUUACUAACUGUAAUAAUAGCCUCAUCGAGUCCAUUAAAAAUUGGUAUAAAUUCCAAUAUAUUUAUGUGUCAAAAAUUUAAAUUUUUUGACUUUUUGGUUUCGUGUUCAAGUGGCUUUACUCGUUUUCAUACUGAAAGUUAUGCGCUUUGAACAAACGAAUUGAACCUAAUGAGCCGAACCAAACUGUUCGUGAACUUUAAGCGAGCCGAACUUGAGCUAAAAAAAAAGCUCGUGUCAAACUCGAACCGAGGUUCAAACCAAGCUAAUUCUUAACGAGUCAAGUUGAGCUUAAACAGGUUCGAUUCGACUCGACUCAUUUCCAGCCUACCUAUGAGGCACACAUGCUUACAGAGAUAAGCCACCCCCAUUGUGGAUGGUCUUAACUCUUAAUGGUUAGUGAUUUGAUAUUUGGCUCAUCCAUGUGGAGAAAAUUGAAUUGGCAAAGAAACAUUACUUCUUUUUUAAAAAAAAGGUAAAAUGUUUUUUAUUAAAGAAGACAAAUUUGUCCACCAAAAUUGGCAUUGUGGAGAAUCAAACGUGAGAGCUGAGACCUUAAUUAGAACACACUCUAAGGUCUCAAACCAACACGAUCAAGCCAACUCAAGUGAAUUCCAAAAUCAAAUAUAUUAAUGCCAACGAAGAAUUUUAACCAACACAGAGUGCAAGGAGAGGAUUCAAAGAGUAACAACAAAGUACAAGAACCAAAAUAACGACAAAAAAGAAAUACAAGCUAGGUGACAAAACCCGAAUGUAAUAGGACUAAACCAACAAAAAUGUAAAUCAAAAGCUAAAUUCUCCGAUUUUGCUUUCAAAUUUCAAAAAGCUAAGAGCUUCACUCCGUCAAUUAAAAGGUGCAUCAAAGACUCAUUUUGUUGAAAAACGUACAUGUUUUUUAUUUAAAAUAAAUCAAACGUAAGUCAUUUAAAUUAAUUGAAUAGAAGACUAAAACCUUUUACAUAAUCCUUCUAAGUUACCAAUUUGAAUAAGACGAUCAGAAAGAUGCAUCAGAUUAGUUGAAUGAAUGUCUAACCAUUUCCGAAUAAUCAACCAAAUACUUCAAAAAUAAAAGAUCAUCGACGUUUUCCACCCUUACAAAUAUUAGAAUUAGAGAAAAUAACUUCUCGCGAAAGCAAAUUAUCUUAUGUAACGACCAUCAAACAACUUUCUCAAAGAGACUGCUUUGUGUGCCAUAUAGAUUUCUUAGAAAGAUUACUCAUUGCAAAAUGACAGUGAAACUUAGAACCUGUAACACGAGAAUCAAGAUAAAUUCAUGAUGGUCUUGGACUCGACUAACAUGAGUUAUAUCCAGCUUGACUUUGCACUGUUGUUGACAACUAAAAUUACGGUAAAAAGCAAUCAUGAUAAAGUGUUAUGAGUGCAAAUUCAACGUUGCAAAUUUGUUUUUUUG
This 3008-nucleotide long non-coding RNA is filed under the name Medicago truncatula (barrel medic). RNAcentral's name for it is "long non-coding RNA (MTRU_LNC007695)". Lineage: Eukaryota; Viridiplantae; Streptophyta; Magnoliopsida; Fabales; Fabaceae. The record is from RNAcentral.